GACGAACGCUGGCGGCGUGCUUAACACAUGCAAGUCGAACGGAAAGGCCCUGCUUUUGUGGGGUUCUCGAGUGGCGAACGGGUGAGUAACACGUGAGUAACCUGCCCUUGACUUUGGGAUAACUUCAGGAAACUGGGGCUAAUACCGGAUAGGAGAUCCUGCUGCAUGGUGGGCGUUGGAAAGUUUCGGCGGUUGGGGAUGGACUCGCGGCUUAUCAGCUUGUUGGUGGGGUAGUGGCUUACCAAGGCUUUGACGGGUAGCCGGCCUGAGAGGGUGAACGGCGACAAUGGGACUGAGAGACGGACCAGACGCGUACGGUAGGCAGCAGUGGGGAAUAUUGCACAAUGAGCGGGAGCCUGAUGCAGAAACGCCGCGUGCGUGAUGACGGCCUUCGGGUUGUAAACCGCUGUCGCCUGAGACGAAGCGUUAGUGACGGUAAUGGGUAAAGAAGCACCGGCUAACUACGUG
Molecule: ribosomal RNA, 468 nt
Filed under: uncultured bacterium
Lineage: Bacteria
Description: partial 16S ribosomal RNA
Rfam family: Bacterial small subunit ribosomal RNA
Source: RNAcentral